Molecule: transfer RNA, 89 nt
Filed under: Gehongia tenuis
Lineage: Bacteria; Bacillati; Bacillota; Clostridia; Christensenellales; Christensenellaceae
Description: tRNA-Ser
Rfam family: tRNA
About the family: Transfer RNA (tRNA) molecules are approximately 80 nucleotides in length.
Source: RNAcentral
GGAGAGAUGUCCGAGAGGUUUAUGGAGCUGGUCUUGAAAACCAGUGAUGCUGCAAAGCACCGAGGGUUCGAAUCCCUCUCUCUCCGCCA